This 253-nucleotide ribosomal RNA is filed under the name uncultured prokaryote. RNAcentral's name for it is "partial 16S ribosomal RNA". It matches the Rfam family "Bacterial small subunit ribosomal RNA", at positions 525 to 777 of the family's 1533-position model. The record is from RNAcentral.
ACAGAGGUCUCAAGCGUUGUUCGGAUUCAUUGGGCGUAAAGGGUGCGUAGGUGGCGUCGUAAGUGGGGUGUGAAAUCCCGGGGCUUAACCCCGGGACUGCAUUCCAUACUGCGGUGCUUGAGGACUGGAGAGGAGACUGGAAUUUACGGUGUAGCAGUGAAAUGCGUAGAGAUCGUAAGGAAGACCAGUGGCGAAGGCGGGUCUCUGGACAGUUCCUGACACUGAGGCACGAAGGCCAGGGGAGCAAACGGGA